Molecule: unclassified non-coding RNA, 200 nt
Filed under: Ascomycota sp.
Lineage: Eukaryota; Fungi; Ascomycota
Description: partial internal transcribed spacer 2
Source: RNAcentral
UUAAGUUCAGCGGGUAUCCCUACCUGAUCCGAGGUCAACCUUGAUAAAAUUGGGGGUUACUGGCAAGACACCACCGAGACCCUAUAGCGAGAAGAAUUACUACGCUCAGAGCUCGAGGGCACCGCCACUGGGUUUAGAGGCUGCGGAAUCGCAGGCCCCAAGACCAAGCCGAAGCUUGAUGGGUUGAAAUGACGCUCGAA